UACGGGGGGGGCAAGCGUUGUUCGGAAUUACUGGGCGUAAAGGGCCAGUAGGCGGCCAACUAAGUCGGAUGUGAAAUCCCCCAGGCUUAACCUGGGAACUGCAUCCGAUACUGGAUGGCUUGAGUUUGGGAGAGGGAUGCGGAAUUCCAGGUGUAGCGGUGAAAUGCGUAGAUAUCUGGAGGAACACCGGUGGCGAAAGGCGG
This 203-nucleotide ribosomal RNA is filed under the name uncultured bacterium. RNAcentral's name for it is "partial 16S ribosomal RNA". It matches the Rfam family "Bacterial small subunit ribosomal RNA", at positions 524 to 724 of the family's 1533-position model. The record is from RNAcentral.